RNAcentral lists this non-coding RNA (146 nucleotides) under Roseateles depolymerans. RNAcentral's name for it is "ZTP sequence". It matches the Rfam family "ZMP/ZTP riboswitch aptamer (pfl RNA motif)". From Rfam's summary of the family: Previously known as pfl RNA. ZMP is also known as AICAR. Lineage: Bacteria; Pseudomonadati; Pseudomonadota; Betaproteobacteria; Burkholderiales; Sphaerotilaceae. The record is from Rfam by way of RNAcentral.
UGGCGUUCGCGCAACUGGCGAUGAGGUCGGGCUUGUCUGGUCCGGCCAAGGUGGGUCACCACCGGGGAGCGCGAACAAUGGGGACCACAGCGGUGCAAAGCCGCCAGCGGCCCUCGUUGUCCGUGCCGUUCGCCUGGGCCGCCACU